UACGUAAGCCGAAGCGAAAGCGAGUCUGAAUAGGGCGUCAAGUUGGUGGUGGUAGACGCGAAACCUAGUGAUCUACCCAUGGGCAGGGUGAAGGCUUGGUAACACCAGCUGGAGGCCCGAACCGGUAAACGUUGAAAAGUUUUCGGAUGACCUGUGGGUAGGGGUGAAAGGCCAAUCAAACUGGGAAAUAGCUCGUACUCUCCGAAAUGCAUUUAGGUGCAGCCUCUGUUGUUUUGUUCUAGAGGUAGAGCUACUGAUUGGAUGCGAGGGCUUCACCGCCUAUCAAAUCCGGCCAAACUCCGAAUGCUAGAACAUGAAGACAGGGAGUGAGCCAGCGGGUGCUAAGGUCCGUUGACGAAAGAGGGAGAACUCAGACCAUCAGCUAAGGUCCCCAAUUAUAUGCUAAGUUGGAAUAAAAACGGGGUGGGACUGCUUAGACAGCUAGGAUGUUGGCUUGGAAGCAGCCAUUCAUUUAAAGAGUGCGUAACAGCUCACUAGUCGAGCGGUCCUGCAUGGAUAAUACGCGGGCAUAAGCAUAUAACCGAAGCUAUGGGAUUGUAGAUGAUACAAUCGGUAGGAGAGCAUUCCAUUCAGCAUAGAAGCAGUACCGUGAGGUAUUGUGGAGCGGAUGGAAAAGCAAAUGUAGGCAUAAGUAACGAUAAUGCGGGUGAGAACCCCGCACGCCGAAAGAUCAAGGAUUCCCCGGCAAUGUCAAUCAUCCGGGGGUAAGUCGGAUCCUAAGGGUAAGCCGAGUGGCGAUCCCGAUGGCAAACAGGUUAAUAUUCCUGUACUGAUCAUAACUGCGAUGCAGCGACGCAGAGGUGACACUGCUGCGUACUGACGGAAUAGUACGUUGAAACCCGUAUUCUUUGAUACCGGUAGUGAAGCACGCCGGUAGAGAUGAAAGGUGAUAGUACCGCAAUGCUUCGGUUGCGCGGAUAAUGCAGGUAAGCUGACUGCCAAGAAAACCUGCUAAGCUUCAGGUAAUGAUCAUCCGUACUGUAAACGGACACACGUGAUCAGGUAGAAAAUACUAAGGCGCUGAGAGAUUCAUGGUUAAGGAACUAGGCAAAAUGGUCCUGUAACUUCGGGAUAAAGGACGCUCUUGUGAAAGAGCCGCAGAUAAUAGGCCCAGGCGACUGUUUACCAAAAACACAUGGCUAUGCUAAUUCGCAAGAAGAUGUAUAUGGCCUGACACCUGCCCGGUGCCGGAAGGUUAAGAGGAGAGCUCAGAGGUAACUCGAAGGUUUGAAUUGAAGCCCCGGUAAACGGCGGCCGUAACUAUAACGGUCCUAAGGUAGCGAAAUUCCUUGUCGGGUAAGUUCCGACCUGCACGAAUGGUGUAACGAUCUGGGCACUGUCUCAACCGUGAGCUCGGUGAAAUUGUAGUUCCGGUGAAGAUGCCGGAUACCCGCAACGGGACGGAAAGACCCCGUGAACCUUUACUGCAGCUUUGCAUUGAUUUUGGGUAACAGAUGUGUAGGAUAGGUCGGAGGCUUUGAUGCUGCGUCGUCAGGCGUAGAGUAGCCGUCGUUGAAAUACGACCCUUUUGUUAUCUGAGGUCUAACCCGUUAGGGAGACAUUGCAUGGUGGGUAGUUUGACUGGGGUGGUCGCCUCCAAAAGUGUAACGGAGGCUUCUUAAGGUACCCUCAAGGCGUUUGGUAAUCGUCUGCAGAGUGCAAUGGCAUAAGGGUGCUUGACUGUGAGACCGACACGUCGAUCAGGUUGGAAACA
RNAcentral lists this ribosomal RNA (1735 nucleotides) under human gut metagenome. RNAcentral describes it as "bacterial LSU rRNA". It matches the Rfam family "Bacterial large subunit ribosomal RNA", at positions 658 to 2406 of the family's 2925-position model. The record is from RNAcentral.